CACGAAUUCGUGUGAGCUAAUUCAUCUAUACAAUAUGUAGCAUAAUAUAUAUACGAAGGUAAAUUAGGAGUGAAAGGCCUCCCAAAAACGAAGAUAUCUUGAAGUAAAUAAAAAAAAUUGAGUUUUAGGUUAAUUAUAAAGUUAUAAGAUUUUAUAACGAAUUUAAUUCCUAUUAUAUUAAUAUAUUGGUAUAAAAGCCUACAUAAAUAGUCAUUAAUAUACAUCUAGAAAGGUUAUUAAACUAGUUUACGAUAGCAUAACUUUUUUAUAAUCAUAAUGUUAAUAUAAGUACCUAUUAGAUACUAAUAGUGAACUCGGCAACAAAGCUUUCAACUGUUUAUCAAAAACAUAGCCACAUGCUUCACAUGUGGUGUAUUCUGCUCAAUGAUAUUUAAAUAGCCGCAGUACCCUGACUGUGCAAAGGUAGCGUAAUCAUUUGUCUUUUAAUUGGAGUCGUGUAUGAAUGAAUGCAUGGGGGCUUACUUUACCACUAGUAUAGUUUGAAAUUUCUUAAAAGGUGAAAAUGCCUUUAUUUAAAUAAUAGACGAGAAGACCCUUGAAAUUUUUAAAUACGUUUUGUUGGGGCAACAUAGUAGACAAACCUACUAAAUGUAUAUGCAAUUUAUUUGUUUGAAUAAAUUACUCUAGGGAUAACAGCAUAAUUCUUAAGAGUUUGUGACCUCGAUGUUGGAUUAGGGAACUAUAACUUAAAA
This 713-nucleotide ribosomal RNA is filed under the name Torresitrachia freycineti. RNAcentral's name for it is "partial 16S ribosomal RNA". The stretch from base 324 to 481 matches the Rfam family "Archaeal large subunit ribosomal RNA", at positions 1882 to 2091 of the family's 2987-position model. The record is from RNAcentral. Lineage: Eukaryota; Metazoa; Mollusca; Gastropoda; Stylommatophora; Camaenidae.